UAACUGAAGAGUUUGAUCAUGGCUCAGAUUGAACGCUGGCGGCAGGCUUAACACAUGCAAGUCGAGCGGGGGAAGGUAGCUUGCUACUGGACCUAGCGGCGGACGGGUGAGUAAUGCUUAGGAAUCUGCCUAUUAGUGGGGGACAACAUCUCGAAAGGGAUGCUAAUACCGCAUACGUCCUACGGGAGAAAGCAGGGGAUCUUCGGACCUUGCGCUAAUAGAUGAGCCUAAGUCGGAUUAGCUAGUUGGUGGGGUAAAGGCCUACCAAGGCGACGAUCUGUAGCGGGUCUGAGAGGAUGAUCCGCCACACUGGGACUGAGACACGGCCCAGACUCCUACGGGAGGCAGCAGUGGGGAAUAUUGGACAAUGGGGGGAACCCUGAUCCAGCCAUGCCGCGUGUGUGAAG
RNAcentral lists this ribosomal RNA (407 nucleotides) under Escherichia coli. RNAcentral's name for it is "bacterial SSU rRNA". It matches the Rfam family "Bacterial small subunit ribosomal RNA", at positions 1 to 410 of the family's 1533-position model. The record is from RNAcentral. Lineage: Bacteria; Pseudomonadati; Pseudomonadota; Gammaproteobacteria; Enterobacterales; Enterobacteriaceae.